UGAACGCUGGCGGUAGGCCUAACACAUGCAAGUCGAACGGCAGCACAGUAAGAGCUUGCUCUUACGGGUGGCGAGUGGCGGACGGGUGAGGAAUACAUCGGAAUCUACUUUUUCGUGGGGGAUAACGUAGGGAAACUUACGCUAAUACCGCAUACGACCUACGGGUGAAAGCAGGGGAUCUUCGGACCUUGCGCGAUUGAAUGAGCCGAUGUCGGAUUAGCUAGUUGGCGGGGUAAAGGCCCACCAAGGCGACGAUCCGUAGCUGGUCUGAGAGGAUGAUCAGCCACACUGGAACUGAGACACGGUCCAGACUCCUACGGGAGGCAGCAGUGGGGAAUAUUGGGCAAUGGGCGCAAGCCUGAUCCAGCCAUACCGCGUGGGUGAAGAAGGCCUUCGGGUUGUAAAGCCCUUUUGUUGGGAAAGAAAAGCAGCAGGUUAAUACCCCGCUGUUCUGACGGUACCCAAAGAAUAAGCACCGGCUAACUUCGUG
RNAcentral lists this ribosomal RNA (490 nucleotides) under uncultured bacterium. RNAcentral describes it as "partial 16S ribosomal RNA". It matches the Rfam family "Bacterial small subunit ribosomal RNA", at positions 30 to 507 of the family's 1533-position model. The record is from RNAcentral.